Molecule: transfer RNA, 76 nt
Filed under: Octadecabacter sp.
Lineage: Bacteria; Pseudomonadati; Pseudomonadota; Alphaproteobacteria; Rhodobacterales; Roseobacteraceae
Description: tRNA-Ala
Rfam family: tRNA
About the family: Transfer RNA (tRNA) molecules are approximately 80 nucleotides in length. Their secondary structure includes four short double-helical elements and three loops (D, anti-codon, and T loops). Further hydrogen bonds mediate the characteristic L-shaped molecular structure. tRNAs have two regions of fundamental functional importance: the anti-codon, which is responsible for specific mRNA codon recognition, and the 3' end, to which the tRNAs corresponding amino acid is attached (by aminoacyl-tRNA synthetases). tRNAs cope with the degeneracy of the genetic code in two manners: having more than one tRNA (with a specific anti-codon) for a particular amino acid; and 'wobble' base-pairing, i.e. permitting non-standard base-pairing at the 3rd anti-codon position.
Source: RNAcentral
GGGGCCAUAGCUCAGUUGGGAGAGCGCUUGCAUGGCAUGUAAGAGGUCGGGGGUUCGACUCCCCUUGGCUCCACCA